GGCAUUUGGGCCGCCUGGCCUUAUACAUUGCAAGUCGAGCGAAUGGAAUUAAGAGCUUGCUCUUAUGAAGUUAGCGGCGGACGGGUGAGUAACACGUGGGUAACCUGCCCAUAAGACUGGGAUAACUCCGGGAAACCGGGGCUAAUACCGGAUAACAUUUUGAACCGCAUGGUUCGAAAUUGAAAGGCGGCUUCGGCUGUCACUUAUGGAUGGACCCGCGUCGCAUUAGCUAGUUGGUGAGGUAACGGCUCACCAAGGCAACGAUGCGUAGCCGACCUGAGAGGGUGAUCGGCCACACUGGGACUGAGACACGGCCCAGACUCCUACGGGAGGCAGCAGUAGGGAAUCUUCCGCAAUGGACGAAAGUCUGACGGAGCAACGCCGCGUGAGUGAUGAAGGCUUUCGGGUCGUAAAACUCUGUUGUUAGGGAAGAACAAGUGCUAGUUGAAUAAGCUGGCACCUUGACGGUACCUAACCAGAAAGCCACGGCUAACUACGUGCCAGCAGCCGCGGUAAUACGUAGGUGGCAAGCGUUAUCCGGAAUUAUUGGGCGUAAAGCGCGCGCAGGUGGUUUCUUAAGUCUGAUGUGAAAGCCCACGGCUCAACCGUGGAGGGUCAUUGAAAGCUGUGCAUACUCGCGUGCAGGAGAGGAAACCUGUAAAUACCAUGAGCAGCUGGUGAUAUGCGUAGGUGAUAUGGCGGGACUAUCAGUUGCGGAUGGCGACCCUCAUGGUUUGGAACUGACAGUGAGGUUCCAAACCGUGGGGAUCCAACCGGAAUAGGAUCCUUGCUAGUACCACGCCCGUAACCAUGAGUACUAAAUGGUAGACGGUUUUCGCCCUUGCGCUCUGGUGUCUACGCAUUAAGCACCCGCCUGGGGAGUUCGGGCGGCAGGCACAAAAUCAAAAGAAAUGAACGGGGGCCGGACCAACGGUUGAGCAUUGUGGUUAAUUUGAAGCAACCGGAAGAACCUUUCCCGGUUUUGACCUUCUUUGGCAACCCUUGAGAUUGGGGUUCUCCUUUGGGAGCAGAAUUACCAGUUGGGCCUUGUUGUUGUCAACCAACGUUGUUAGAAGUUGGGUUAAGUUCCGCCACGAACGCAACCCUUUUUUUUAGUUGCCCUCCUUAAAUUGGGCAAUUUAAGGUGGCUGCCGGUGGCAAAACUGAGGAAGGUGGGGAAGACCUCAAAUCCUCAAUCCCCUUUUGACCUGGGCUACCCACCUUGUCCAAUGGGAGGUACAAAGAACCGCAAGACCGGGAGGGGGGGGUUAUUUUCUAAAACCGUUUUCCGUUUGGAUUGUAGGGUUCAAAUUGCCUACAUGAAACUGGAAUUGCUAGUAAUUCCGGAUCAUCCUGCCGCGGUGAAUACGUUUCCGGGCCUUUUACACCCCCCCCCUCACCCCCCCGGAGUUUAUUACACCCGAACGCG
This 1429-nucleotide ribosomal RNA is filed under the name Bacillus thuringiensis. Its description in RNAcentral is "partial 16S ribosomal RNA". It matches the Rfam family "Bacterial small subunit ribosomal RNA". Lineage: Bacteria; Bacillati; Bacillota; Bacilli; Caryophanales; Bacillaceae. The record is from RNAcentral.